GACGAACGCUGGCGGCGUGCCUAAUACAUGCAAGUAGAACGCUGAAGGAGGAGCUUGCUUCUCUGGAUGAGUUGCGAACGGGUGAGUAACGCGUAGGUAACCUGCCUGGUAGCGGGGGAUAACUAUUGGAAACGAUAGCUAAUACCGCAUAAGAGUAGAUGUCGCAUGACAUUUGCUUAAAAGGUGCAAUUGCAUCACUACCAGAUGGACCUGCGUUGUAUUAGCUAGUUGGUGAGGUAACGGCUCACCAAGGCAACGAUACAUAGCCGACCUGAGAGGGUGAUCGGCCACACUGGGACUGAGACACGGCCCAGACUCCUACGGGAGGCAGCAGUAGGGAAUCUUCGGCAAGGGACGGAAGUCUGACCGAGCAACGCCGCGUGAGUGAAGAAGGUUUUCGGAUCGUAAAGCUCUGUUGUAAGAGAAGAACGAGUGUGAGAGUGGAAAGUUCACACUGUGACGGUAUCUUACCAGAAAGGGACGGCUAACUACGUG
RNAcentral lists this ribosomal RNA (495 nucleotides) under uncultured bacterium. RNAcentral describes it as "partial 16S ribosomal RNA". It matches the Rfam family "Bacterial small subunit ribosomal RNA", at positions 28 to 507 of the family's 1533-position model. The record is from RNAcentral.